CCUACGGGGGGCAGCAGUGAGGAAUAUUGGUCAAUGGCCGGAAGGCUGAACCAGCCAAGCCGCGUGAAGGACGAAGGUGCCAAGCAUUGUAAACUUCUUUUGUCAAGGGACAAAAUCAGGCUCGAGAGCCUGACCGAGGGUACUUGCAGAAGAAGCAUCGGCUAACUCCGUGCCAGCAGCCCCGGUAAUCCGGGGGAUGCGGGCGUUACCCGGAUUUAUUGGGUUUAAAGGGUGCGUAGGCGGGCUGUUAAGUCAGCGGGAAAAGCCCGGGGCCCAACCCCGGCGAGCCGUUGAAACUGGCUGUCUGGAGAGGUCGAGAGGUAGGCGGAAUGCGCAGUGUAGCGGUGAAAUGCUUAGAUAUUGCGCAGAACUCCGAUUGCGAAGGCAGCAUACCGGCGGCGAUCUGACGCUGAGGCACGAAAGCGUGGGUAUCGAACAGGAUUAGAUACCCUUGUAGUC
RNAcentral lists this ribosomal RNA (459 nucleotides) under uncultured bacterium. RNAcentral's name for it is "partial 16S ribosomal RNA". It matches the Rfam family "Bacterial small subunit ribosomal RNA", at positions 338 to 795 of the family's 1533-position model. The record is from RNAcentral.